RNAcentral lists this ribosomal RNA (544 nucleotides) under Bacillus sp. (in: firmicutes). RNAcentral describes it as "bacterial SSU rRNA". It matches the Rfam family "Bacterial small subunit ribosomal RNA", at positions 118 to 647 of the family's 1533-position model. The record is from RNAcentral. Lineage: Bacteria; Bacillati; Bacillota; Bacilli; Caryophanales; Bacillaceae.
UGGGUAACCUGCCUGUAAGACUGGGAUAACUCCGGGAAACCGGGGCUAAUACCGGAUGGUUGUUUGAACCGCAUGGUUCAGACAUAAAAGGUGGCUUCGGCUACCACUUACAGAUGGACCCGCGGCGCAUUAGCUAGUUGGUGAGGUAACGGCUCACCAAGGCGACGAUGCGUAGCCGACCUGAGAGGGUGAUCGGCCACACUGGGACUGAGACACGGCCCAGACUCCUACGGGAGGCAGCAGUAGGGAAUCUUCCGCAAUGGACGAAAGUCUGACGGAGCAACGCCGCGUGAGUGAUGAAGGUUUUCGGAUCGUAAAGCUCUGUUGUUAGGGAAGAACAAGUGCCGUUCAAAUAGGGCGGCACCUUGACGGUACCUAACCAGAAAGCCACGGCUAACUACGUGCCAGCAGCCGCGGUAAUACGUAGGUGGCAAGCGUUGUCCGGAAUUAUUGGGCGUAAAGGGCUCGCAGGCGGUUUCUUAAGUCUGAUGUGAAAGCCCCCGGCUCAACCGGGGAGGGUCAUUGGAAACUGGGGAACUUGAGU